This is a long non-coding RNA of Carassius auratus (goldfish), 407 nucleotides long. RefSeq lists it as uncharacterized. NCBI's taxonomy places the organism in Eukaryota, Metazoa, Chordata, Actinopteri, Cypriniformes, Cyprinidae. The record is from RefSeq and is a predicted model, not a curated record. The transcript is spliced from 2 exons.
CAGGAUCCUCUGGGCCGAAUGCCGCAUGUGAUGUCCCUAUGAAAAGAGGUGGACACAAGAAUUAUUCCUUUCCCGGUCACAACCGAAGCCUCUCCCAGCCAUCGCAGGAUUCUCUGGGCCGAAUGCUGUAUGUGAUGUCCCUGUAGAAGGAGGUGGACACGAGAAUUAUUCCUUUUCCCGGUCUCGACCGAAACAUCCACGAGCUCUACUUACCCGGAUACUCCCCCCUCACUCCGGGACAGGUGACAGACUAUCCUGGCUCUUGCUGGCCCCGUACAGGCACAAACUGCCGACGACUCCACGCCUUCCCGGCGUCCGAGGUCUGGCUCCGUUCUGGUCGGGAGACACGGAAGGAACACUGAACUUUUAAAUUGCUUUUAAUCAAAUAAAACCUUGUUCAUUUUUUA